UGGAAAUCAAAAGUGGAGAAAUACAAGAGACAGUAUUAUUAUUAUUAUUACCAUUAUUUUUUUGUUUUUCCUGAUUUACUACACGAAGUUAUCUAUAGGAAAAUAGUAAUGAAAAUUAUAAUAAUAAACACGCCGCUUCUUUGAGAAACAUAGCGACGUGCACUUGCGUAUAAACGUAAGUCUUUACACAUACACACAGACACAUAGGUGUUAUAAGUUUGUCAUACAAAAACCCGCGAAGGAAGAGGAAGCGCAACUGGAAGAUAUAAACAAACUUAUUCAUACGUCGGUAAGCAUUUGGUAAACAAUUCUAACUGCGGUUUUCUCGCUGUAGUUCCCGGCGAAGAGAAGAAAGUAAUUAACCAAUUAUUUAUAUACGUGUUAUACAUGUACGCGUGAGAAAUUCUUCAAAAGGUAGGAA
RNAcentral lists this long non-coding RNA (421 nucleotides) under Octopus vulgaris (common octopus). The record is from RNAcentral. Lineage: Eukaryota; Metazoa; Mollusca; Cephalopoda; Octopoda; Octopodidae.